AGAGUUUGAUCCUGGCUCAGGAUGAACGCUGGCGGCGUGCUUAACACAUGCAAGUCGAACGAACCUUCGGGUUAGUGGCGGACGGGUGAGUAACGCGUGAGAAUCUGCCCUCAGGAGGGGGAUAACGGUUGGAAACGACCGCUAAUACCCCAUAUGCCUACUGGUGAAAUGAAUUUCGCCUGAGGAUGAGCUCGCGUCUGAUUAGCUAGUUGGUGAGGUAAUGGCUCACCAAGGCUUCGAUCAGUAGCUGGUCUGAGAGGAUGAUCAGCCACACUGGGACUGAGACACGGCCCAGACUCCUACGGGAGGCAGCAGUGGGGAAUUUUCCGCAAUGGGCGAAAGCCUGACGGAGCAACGCCGCGUGAGGGACGAAGGCCUCUGGGCUGUAAACCUCUUUUCUCAAGGAAGAAGAUAUGACGGUACUUGAGGAAUAAGCCACGGCUAAUUCCGUGCCAGCAGCCGCGGUAAUACGGGAGUGGCAAGCGUUAUCCGGAAUUAUUGGGCGUAAAGCGUCCGCAGGCGGCUUUUCAAGUCUGCUGUUAAAGCGUGGAGCUUAACUCCAUCAUGGCAGUGGAAACUGAAAGGCUUGAGUAUGGUAGGGGCAGAGGGAAUUCCCGGUGUAGCGGUGAAAUGCGUAGAUAUCGGGAAGAACACCAGUGGCGAAGGCGCUCUGCUGGGCCAUUACUGACGCUCAUGGACGAAAGCCAGGGGAGCGAAAGGGAUUAGAUACCCCUGUAGUCCUGGCCGUAAACGAUGAACACUAGGUGUCGGGGGAAUCGACCCCUUCGGUGUCGUAGCUAACGCG
Molecule: ribosomal RNA, 805 nt
Filed under: marine metagenome
Description: bacterial SSU rRNA
Rfam family: Bacterial small subunit ribosomal RNA
Source: RNAcentral